RNAcentral lists this unclassified non-coding RNA (152 nucleotides) under uncultured Lophium. Its description in RNAcentral is "sequence contains ITS2". The record is from RNAcentral. Lineage: Eukaryota; Fungi; Ascomycota; Dothideomycetes; Mytilinidiales; Mytilinidiaceae.
CUACCACUCAAGCAUAGCUUGGUAUUGGGCAUCGUUGCUUUUUUAAACGUGCCUUAAAUGUAGACGGCGGCAAACACUAGUUCCGAGCGUAGCAGUAAAACAUUUCGCUUUAGAGAAUCUAGUAUAUUGUCAACCGCAUAGUUUUUACUACA